Molecule: non-coding RNA, 24 nt
Filed under: Arabidopsis thaliana (thale cress)
Lineage: Eukaryota; Viridiplantae; Streptophyta; Magnoliopsida; Brassicales; Brassicaceae
Source: RNAcentral
UCCGUGUUAUUAGUCUUCCUCCCU